Molecule: ribosomal RNA, 504 nt
Filed under: uncultured bacterium
Lineage: Bacteria
Description: partial 16S ribosomal RNA
Rfam family: Bacterial small subunit ribosomal RNA
Source: RNAcentral
AUUGAACGCUGGCGGCAUGCCUUACACAUGCAAGUCGAACGGCAGCAUGGAGAGCUUGCUCUCUGAUGGCGAGUGGCGAACGGGUGAGUAAUGCAUCGGAACGUACCGUGUAAUGGGGGAUAACGUAGCGAAAGUUACGCUAAUACCGCAUACGACCUGAGGGUGAAAGCAGGGGAUCGCAAGACCUUGCGUUAUACGAGCGGCCGAUGUCAGGUUAGCUAGUUGGUGAGGUAAAGGCUCACCAAGGCGACGAUCUGUAGCGGGUCUGAGAGGAUGAGCCGCCACACUGGGACUGAGACACGGCCCAGACUCCUACGGGAGUCAGCAGUGGGGAAUUUUGGACAAUGGGGGCAACCCUGAUCCAGCCAUGCCGCGUGAGUGAAGAAGGCCUUCGGGUUGUAAAGCUCUUUCGGCCGGGAAGAAAUCGCACAGGCUAAUACUCUGUGUGGAUGACGGUACCGGCAUAAGAAGCACCGGCUAACUACGUGCCAGCCGCCGCAGUAA